This 406-nucleotide ribosomal RNA is filed under the name uncultured bacterium. Its description in RNAcentral is "partial 16S ribosomal RNA". It matches the Rfam family "Bacterial small subunit ribosomal RNA", at positions 30 to 526 of the family's 1533-position model. The record is from RNAcentral.
AUUGAACGCUGGCGGCAGGCCUAACACAUGCAAGUCGAACGAGUGGCGGACGGGUGAGUAAUGUCUGGGAAACUGCCUGAUGGAGGGGGAUAACUACUGGAAACGGUAGCUAAUACCGCAUACCAUCGGAUUUCCCCAGAUGGGAUUAGCUGGUUGGUGGGGUAACGGCGCACCAAGGCGACGAUCCCUAGCUGGUCUGAGAGGAUGACAAGCUACACUGGAACUGAGAGACGGCCAGGACUCCUACGGGAGGCAGCAGUGGGGAAUAUUGCGCAAUGGGGGCAACCCGAACACAGCAAUGCCGCGUGAAUGAAGAAGGCCUUCGGGUUGUAAAGUUCUUUCGGUAUUGAGGCGUUAAAUACAGAAGAAGCACCGGCUAACUCCGUGCCAGCAGGCGCGGUAAUAC